Long non-coding RNA from Pezoporus flaviventris, 283 nucleotides. RefSeq lists it as uncharacterized. The record is from RefSeq and is a predicted model, not a curated record. The transcript has 2 exons. NCBI's taxonomy places the organism in Eukaryota, Metazoa, Chordata, Aves, Psittaciformes, Psittacidae.
UUUUGGUCUGCAUGUUGGUGGAUCUAGCACUGCAGGCAAGAGAGCUAUGGCUCACUCCCACCUUCUCUGUGAACUUCAAAGGGAGCAGAAGAGGAGGGAUACGUCAUUUGCAAGAUACCAGUUUUUAUGAAGCACUACAUGAGUUGCUGAUGGAUAAAUCACCCAAGCAUGGUUAAAGAGACCCUAAUCUCCAGAUGGUACCAGAUCCAUUUAAUUGUAUCCUCUGACCUCAUCUCACCUGAGCCUGCAUUAAAAUCAUAAUACAGUUCAAGUGUAAAAAUGA